Non-coding RNA from Osmia lignaria (orchard mason bee), 1099 nucleotides. The record is from RefSeq and is a predicted model, not a curated record. Lineage: Eukaryota; Metazoa; Arthropoda; Insecta; Hymenoptera; Megachilidae.
UAUUACCUGCAACAGGAAAUUGGACACGAUCUUACAUAUGCUACAUUUAUUUUCGCUUAUAAACCAUGCUUCGCCUUUCGUAUUCAUCGUUCGUUAAUAAAAGUGCUUGUUUCUUUUGCGUGAUCACGACGGACCAUGAAGAGAGCCCUAAUUUUAAUUUAAUUUUGUAUUUCACAUCAUUUGCAGUUUAUAAAUUUUAGUUGUGUUUUUUGAUUUAUGAUAUAAAUUCUAAUUAUUCUAAUUGGACUGUGAUCAUGCAUCGAUCACGACAAUUUUUAAUCAUUUACAACUUCUUCGUCGUUUCUUUUGUAUUACAUAACUAUGAUCAGAGUAUUUCCAGGGUGUGAUACAAAUUUUUUCUAUCCAUAUUUAAUAUCAAAAUUCUAAAUACUAACGAUAUUAUGCUACGUAAGUUGAUUAAAGUUAAAAUAAUCUUUAUUCGAAGAACUGGUUUAUUUUGUAACCAUCCUUAUAAUCAGCUAACUUGUUUCAACACAGUUCAGGAUACGCUUGAGCGAAUAGUUACUUCCGUUAUAUCGUGCUUCAUUUACAAAUCACCUCGACACGCAAUCACAGCAACGCUAUCGUAAAUUAUGAAGUGUUACUUAAAUUAAAACUUUCUCUUCUCCUUAACAUUUCUGGGGACCAAUGAUACCUUCACGUUUAAAAAACAUAGGUGCGUCACUGAAACGCUCCUAAUACUUUCUUAGUGCGCAUGCGCUAUAAAUCCCAUACUGCGCAUCACUCGCGCAAACGCGUGUUCCCGCGUAUCAUUGAAAUUUUGAAACUGAAAAUUCCUUCAUUCUCAUCAAUAUAAUUAUAUGAAAUACAAUUGAAUAUUUGGGGCUCUUUGCAUGAUCCGUCGUCAGAGAGUUAAUAAAUGUCUAUAACGUAUAUUUUAUGAACAGCCAAAAAGGAAAUUCUCCUUUUUAUUAAACUGAUAUUUUUUCUUUCAGUAUCGUAUGUAUAAAAGAUCAAAGAGAAAAGUUUGGCAUCUUUUGCACGGAUUCUUGGAAGGCACAUCAGUUGUCACGUAAAACAGUUAACUGUUUUACGUCGGUAAUAUAUUGAGCAACUUUGAAAAUGAAAAAAAAAAAAA